AAAUUGAAGAGUUUGAUCAUGGCUCAGAUUGAACGCUGGCGGCAGGCCUAACACAUGCAAGUCGAACGGUAACAGGAAGCAGCUUGCUGCUUCGCUGACGAGUGGCGGACGGGUGAGUAAUGUCUGGGAAACUGCCUGAUGGAGGGGGAUAACUACUGGAAACGGUAGCUAAUACCGCAUAAUGUCGCAAGACCAAAGAGGGGGACCUUCGGGCCUCUUGCCAU
RNAcentral lists this ribosomal RNA (224 nucleotides) under Escherichia coli. RNAcentral describes it as "partial 16S ribosomal RNA". It matches the Rfam family "Bacterial small subunit ribosomal RNA", at positions 1 to 221 of the family's 1533-position model. Lineage: Bacteria; Pseudomonadati; Pseudomonadota; Gammaproteobacteria; Enterobacterales; Enterobacteriaceae. The record is from RNAcentral. RNAcentral also lists the same sequence under 2 other names.